CUACGGGGGGCAGCAGUGGGGAAUAUUGGACAAUGGGGGAAACCCUGAUCCAGCAACGCCGCGUGUGUGAAGAAGGCCUGCGGGUUGUAAAGCACUUUCGGUUGGGAGGACUGCUUCUAGCACUAAUAUUGUUGGAAGUUGACGUUACCUUCAGAAGAAGCACCGGCUAACUCCGUGCCAGCAGCCGCGGUAAUACGGAGGGGUGCAAGCGUUAAUCGGAAUUACUGGGCGUAAAGCGCGCGUAGGCGGGCUGAUCAGUCGGGUGUGAAAGCCCCGGGCUUAACCUGGGAACUGCAUCCGAUACUGUCUAGCUUGAGUACAGGAGAGGAGAGUGGAAUUCCACAUGUAGCGGUGAAAUGCGUAGAUAUGUGGAGGAACACCAAUGGCGAAGGCAGCUCUCUGGCCUGAUCCUGACGCCGAGGUGCGAAAGCGUGGGGAGCAAACAGGAUUAGAUACCCCUGUAGUC
RNAcentral lists this ribosomal RNA (466 nucleotides) under uncultured bacterium. Its description in RNAcentral is "partial 16S ribosomal RNA". It matches the Rfam family "Bacterial small subunit ribosomal RNA", at positions 339 to 795 of the family's 1533-position model. The record is from RNAcentral.